CUUGUUUUCUUUAUGUUUUAGCUGCAGCUUCCCUCUGUCCUCCCUCCACAAACCCUGCUGCAGUACACACAAAGCCCGGGCCGGUCGGUUUAUUCCAUCUUAAAAUACAGCACUUGGAAAGAAGAAUAAAUAUUGGUAGCCAUUGGGAGACAAUGGAAUCGUUGCCUAUUUUUAAAGAUGCUUCUUGGCCAAUAAUGAUGAUAUGGGAGCGAAUCAACCAUGCAUAUACAUCAGAUUCUCCUCCGAAGGACUGGGGGCUACAAAAAGACGGCUGUGGCUUCCAGAACUGGAUUUUUUGUUCCCACAAUGAAAAAUAUACUGUGCUCUGGGACACUAGUUACUCCUACUGGAAAGUUGACACUCCAUUUGAGCGAUGUCUGUAUUUUGUUGGACCUCUUUUUAUAGACAAAUCAGCGACAGGAUUAAAAGUACCUCCGUUAUUUACUGUCAAUAAUUCAGAUACAGAUUUUUUAAUACCAGCCCGUGCUUCAAUGGUGAGGGGAAAAAUGCUUGAAAUUGCCCAUUUUGUUGUUAAACCACAUGUUUCGAACCUCAAAUAAAAAAAUAUUGUAA
This is a long non-coding RNA of Bufo gargarizans (Asiatic toad), 573 nucleotides long. RefSeq lists it as uncharacterized. NCBI's taxonomy places the organism in Eukaryota, Metazoa, Chordata, Amphibia, Anura, Bufonidae. The transcript has 2 exons. The record is from RefSeq and is a predicted model, not a curated record.